Molecule: ribosomal RNA, 460 nt
Filed under: uncultured bacterium
Lineage: Bacteria
Description: partial 16S ribosomal RNA
Rfam family: Bacterial small subunit ribosomal RNA
Source: RNAcentral
CCUACGGGGUGCAGCAGUGAGGAAUAUUGGUCAAUGGACGAGAGUCUGAACCAGCCAAGUAGCGUGAAGGAUGACUGCCCUAUGGGUUGUAAACUUCUUUUAUAUGGGAAUAAAAUGUUCCACGUGUGGGAUUUUGUAUGUACCAUAUGAAUAAGGAUCGGCUAACUCAGUGCCAGCAGCCGCGGUAAUACGGAGGAUCCGAGCGUUAUCCGGAUUUAUUGGGUUUAAAGGGAGCGUAGGUGGAUUGUUAAGUCAGUUGUGAAAGUUUGCGGCUCAACCGUAAAAUUGCAGUUGAAACUGGCAGUCUUGAGUACAGUAGAGGUGGGCGGAAUUCGUGGUGUAGCGGUGAAAUGCUUAGAUAUCACGAAGAACUCCGAUUGCGAAGGCAGUUCACUGGACUGCAACUGACACUGAGGCUCGAAAGUGUGGGUAUCAAACAGGAUUAGAUACCCUUGUAGUC